ACGCCUUGUCAACAUAUAUAAAUAGUGUUGCUUCAAACUUUAUGAUAAAAAACCCGAUUUUCUAGACGUGUAUACAAAUAAAAAUAGUAAGUUUAUACUAUAAAUGAGUUUAUUUUACCUGUAUCGGUUUAAAUUCGCUGUUAAGAGAAUGCAGGAAAGCUAAUCUACCUGUGGAAGUAUAGGCAUUACCCUUUAGAUCUAUUAGAUCCAUUCUUGAAUAUGCCUCACCUGUUUGGGGUGGCCUUCCAACCUAUCUGGUAAAUGAAAUUGAACGUACCCAGAACCGCUGCCUCCGAGUUAAUGACUGUCUACAAAGCCUCUCUGAUCGAAGAGAAGAACUUCUGAAACGUGAAGCGCGGAAGAUUAUGAAUGACCCUUCCCAUCCUUUUCAUACAAGACUCUUUAAAUCAAAUAAUCCCCAUGAUUUACGGACAAUUAGUAGCAAAAACACAUUAUCGCGAACCGAAAGACAUAAACGUUCCUUCAAUAUAUUAUAGCUCGUGCAAGUGCACUCACAUAGUUUUUAGUUGUCUAUAUAUACUUAAUAUUCUUAUCUGUAUAUAAUGUUCUAUAUAUUUUUUAACGUAAUUUCAAUCAAAC
This is a non-coding RNA of Paramuricea clavata, 600 nucleotides long. The record is from the annotation of a GenBank genome assembly. NCBI's taxonomy places the organism in Eukaryota, Metazoa, Cnidaria, Anthozoa, Malacalcyonacea, Plexauridae.